GCCUUCGUGGUGUAACUGGAAGCACGCUCGAUGUGUAUUCGGGAGGUCCGGAGUUCGAAUCCCGGCGAGGGCA
This 73-nucleotide transfer RNA is filed under the name Stegodyphus dumicola. Its description in RNAcentral is "tRNA-Thr". It matches the Rfam family "tRNA". Rfam says of the family: Transfer RNA (tRNA) molecules are approximately 80 nucleotides in length. Their secondary structure includes four short double-helical elements and three loops (D, anti-codon, and T loops). Lineage: Eukaryota; Metazoa; Arthropoda; Arachnida; Araneae; Eresidae. The record is from RNAcentral.